UUAAGCGACCAAGCGUACACGGUGGAUGCCCUGGCAGUCAGAGGCGAUGAAGGACGUGCUAAUCUGCGAAAAGCGCCGGUAAGGUGAUAUGAACCGUUAUAACCGGCGAUGUCCGAAUGGGGAAACCCAGUGUGACUCGUCACACUAUCAUUACGUGAAUACAUAGCGUAAUGAGGCGAACCGGGGGAACUGAAACAUCUAAGUACCCCGAGGAAAAGAAAUCAACCGAGAUUCCCCCAGUAGCGGCGAGCGAACGGGGAGGAGCCCAGAGCCUGAAUCAGCAUGUGUGUUAGUGGAAGCGUCUGGAAAGGCGCGCGAUACAGGGUGAGAGCCCCGUACACAAAAGCGCAUAUGCUGUGAGCUCGAUGAGUAGGGCGGGACACGUGGUAUCCUGUCUGAAUAUGGGGGGACCAUCCUCCAAGGCUAAAUACUCCUGACUGACCGAUAGUGAACCAGUACCGUGAGGGAAAGGCGAAAAGAACCCCGGCGAGGGGAGUGAAAGAGAACCUGAAACCGUGUACGUACAAGCAGUGGGAGCAUGAGUUUACUCAUGUGACUGCGUACCUUUUGUAUAAUGGGUCAGCGACUUAUAUUCUGUAGCAAGGUUAACCGCAUAGGGGAGCCGAAGGGAAACCGAGUCUUAAUUGGGCGUUAAGUUGCAGGGUAUAGACCCGAAACCCGGUGAUCUAGCCAUGGGCAGGUUGAAGGUUGGGUAACACUAACUGGAGGACCGAACCGACUAAUGUUGAAAAAUUAGCGGAUGACCUGUGGCUGGGGGUGAAAGGCCAAUCAAACCGGGAGAUAGCUGGUUCUCCCCGAAAGCUAUUUAGGUAGCGCCUCGUGAAUUCAUCUCCGGGGGUAGAGCACUGUUUCGGCUAGGGGGCCAUCCCGGCUUACCAACCCGAUGCAAACUGCGAAUACCGGAGAAUGUUAUCACGGGAGACACACGGCGGGUGCUAACGUCCGUCGUGAAGAGGGAAACAACCCAGACCGCCAGCUAAGGUCCCAAAGUCAUGGUUAAGUGGGAAACGAUGUGGGAAGGCCCAGACAGCCAGGAUGUUGGCUUAGAAGCAGCCAUCAUUUAAAGAAAGCGUAAUAGCUCACUGGUCGAGUCGGCCUGCGCGGAAGAUGUAACGGGGCUAAACCAUGCACCGAAGCUGCGGCAGCGACACGUAAGUGUUGUUGGGUAGGGGAGCGUUCUGUAAGCCGUUGAAGGUGGCCUGUGAGGGUUGCUGGAGGUAUCAGAAGUGCGAAUGCUGACAUAAGUAACGAUAAAGCGGGUGAAAAGCCCGCUCGCCGGAAGACCAAGGGUUCCUGUCCAACGUUAAUCGGGGCAGGGUGAGUCGACCCCUAAGGCGAGGCCGAAAGGCGUAGUCGAUGGGAAACAGGUUAAUAUUCCUGUACUUGGUGUUACUGCGAAGGGGGGACGGAGAAGGCUAUGUUGGCCGGGCGACGGUUGUCCCGGUUUAAGCGUGUAGGUGUGUGUUCCAGGUAAAUCCGGUUCACUUUAACACUGAGGCGUGACGACGAGGCACUACGGUGCUGAAGCAACAAAUGCCCUGCUUCCAGGAAAAGCCUCUAAGCAUCAGGUAACAUCAAAUCGUACCCCAAACCGACACAGGUGGUCAGGUAGAGAAUACCAAGGCGCUUGAGAGAACUCGGGUGAAGGAACUAGGCAAAAUGGUGCCGUAACUUCGGGAGAAGGCACGCUGACAUGUAGGUGAAGUGAUUUACUCAUGGAGCUGAAGUCAGUCGAAGAUACCAGCUGGCUGCAACUGUUUAUUAAAAACACAGCACUGUGCAAACACGAAAGUGGACGUAUACGGUGUGACGCCUGCCCGGUGCCGGAAGGUUAAUUGAUGGGGUCAGCGCAAGCGAAGCUCCUGAUCGAAGCCCCGGUAAACGGCGGCCGUAACUAUAACGGUCCUAAGGUAGCGAAAUUCCUUGUCGGGUAAGUUCCGACCUGCACGAAUGGCGUAAUGAUGGCCAGGCUGUCUCCACCCGAGACUCAGUGAAAUUGAACUCGCUGUGAAGAUGCAGUGUACCCGCGGCAAGACGGAAAGACCCCGUGAACCUUUACUAUAGCUUGACACUGAACAUUGAGCCUUGAUGUGUAGGAUAGGUGGGAGGCUUUGAAGCGUGGACGCCAGUCUGCGUGGAGCCAACCUUGAAAUACCACCCUUUAAUGUUUGAUGUUCUAACGUGGACCCGUAAUCCGGGUUGCGGACAGUGUCUGGUGGGUAGUUUGACUGGGGCGGUCUCCUCCUAAAGAGUAACGGAGGAGCACGAAGGUUGGCUAAUCCUGGUCGGACAUCAGGAGGUUAGUGCAAUGGCAUAAGCCAGCUUGACUGCGAGCGUGACGGCGCGAGCAGGUGCGAAAGCAGGUCAUAGUGAUCCGGUGGUUCUGAAUGGAAGGGCCAUCGCUCAACGGAUAAAAGGUACUCCGGGGAUAACAGGCUGAUACCGCCCAAGAGUUCAUAUCGACGGCGGUGUUUGGCACCUCGAUGUCGGCUCAUCACAUCCUGGGGCUGAAGUAGGUCCCAAGGGUAUGGCUGUUCGCCAUUUAAAGUGGUACGCGAGCUGGGUUUAGAACGUCGUGAGACAGUUCGGUCCCUAUCUGCCGUGGGCGCUGGAAGAUUGAGGGGGGCUGCUCCUAGUACGAGAGGACCGGAGUGGACGCAUCACUGGUGUUCGGGUUGUCAUGCCAAUGGCACUGCCCGGUAGCUAAAUGCGGAAAAGAUAAGUGCUGAAAGCAUCUAAGCACGAAACUUGCCCCGAGAUGAGUCUUCCCUGAGACUUUGAGUCUCCUGAAGGAACGUUGAAGACGACGACGUUGAUAGGCCGGGUGUGUAAGCGCAGCGAUGCGUUGAGCUAACCGGUACUAAUGAACCGUGAGGCUUAACCUU
This 2906-nucleotide ribosomal RNA is filed under the name Salmonella enterica. RNAcentral describes it as "bacterial LSU rRNA". It matches the Rfam family "Bacterial large subunit ribosomal RNA". Lineage: Bacteria; Pseudomonadati; Pseudomonadota; Gammaproteobacteria; Enterobacterales; Enterobacteriaceae. The record is from RNAcentral.